AACGCUGGAAUGCCUUACGGUUGAAAGCUUUAGCGUCUGAGGAUGGGUCUGCGGCCGAUUAGGUAGUUGCUGGGGUAACGUCCCAACAAGCCGAUAAUCGGUACGGGUUGUGAGAGCAAGAGCCCGGAGAUGGAUUCUGAGACACGAAUCCAGGUCCUACGGGGCGCAGCAGGCGCGAAAACUUUACACUGCGCGAAAGCGCGAUAAGGGGACCUCGAGUGCGUGCGCAAUGCGUACGCUUUUCAGAUGCCUAAAAAGCAUCUGGAAUAAGGGCCGGGCAAGACCGGUGCCAGCCGCCGCGGUAACACCGGCGGCUCAAGUGGUGGCCGCUAUUAUUGGGCUUAAAGGGUCCGUAGCCGGACCAGUUAGUCCCUUGGGAAAUCUUACGGCUUAACCGUAAGGCUGCCAAUGGAUACUGCUGGUCUUGGGACCGGGAGAGGCAAGAGGUACCUCAGGGGUAGGAGUGAAAUCCUGUAAUCCUUGAGGGACCGCCAGUGGCGAAGGCGUCUUGCUAGAACGGGUCCGACGGUGAGGGACGAAAGCUAGGGGCACGAACCGGAUUAGAUACCCGGGUAGUCCUAGUCGUAAACGAUGCGAGCUAGGUGUCACGUGGAUUGCGAAUCCAUGUGGUGCCGAAGGGUAACCGUGAAGCUCGCCGCCUGGGAAGUACGGCCGCAAGGCUGAAACUUAAAGGAAUUGGCGGGGGAGCAC
This 711-nucleotide ribosomal RNA is filed under the name uncultured euryarchaeote. Its description in RNAcentral is "bacterial SSU rRNA". It matches the Rfam family "Archaeal small subunit ribosomal RNA", at positions 166 to 879 of the family's 1478-position model. The record is from RNAcentral. Lineage: Archaea; Methanobacteriati; Methanobacteriota.